This 253-nucleotide ribosomal RNA is filed under the name uncultured bacterium. RNAcentral's name for it is "partial 16S ribosomal RNA". It matches the Rfam family "Bacterial small subunit ribosomal RNA", at positions 524 to 776 of the family's 1533-position model. The record is from RNAcentral.
UACAGAGGUCCCGAGCGUUGUUCGGAUUCAUUGGGCGUAAAGGGCGCGUAGGCGGGCCGAAAAGUCAGGGGUGAAAUCCUCCAGCCCAACUGGAGAAGCGCCUUUGGUACUGUCGGCCUCGAGGGGUGCAGGGGCAUGCGGAACUCAGGGUGGAGCGGUGAAAUGCGUAGAUAUCCUGAGGAACACCGGUGGCGAAAGCGGCGUGCUGGACACCUUCUGACGCUGAGGCGCGAAAGCCAGGGGAGCGAACGGG